This 251-nucleotide ribosomal RNA is filed under the name uncultured bacterium. RNAcentral's name for it is "partial 16S ribosomal RNA". It matches the Rfam family "Bacterial small subunit ribosomal RNA", at positions 57 to 305 of the family's 1533-position model. The record is from RNAcentral.
GCAAGUCGAACGGUAACAUGAGAGCUUGCUCUUGAUGACGAGUGGCGGACGGGUGCGUAACACGUAUGCAACAUACCCUUUACAGGGGAAUAGCCCAGAGAAAUCUGGAUUAAUACCCCAUAAUAUCACGGAUUCGCAUGUUUCUGUGAUUAAAACUUCGGUGGUAAAGGAUUGGCAUGCGGCCCAUUAGUUUGUUGGUGAGGUAAUGGCUCACCAAGACUACGAUGGGUAGGGGGUCUGAGAGGAUGAUC